Peromyscus californicus insignis is the source of this 6449-nucleotide long non-coding RNA. RefSeq lists it as uncharacterized. The transcript is spliced from 3 exons. Lineage: Eukaryota; Metazoa; Chordata; Mammalia; Rodentia; Cricetidae. The record is from RefSeq and is a predicted model, not a curated record.
AUUUUGUUGCAGACCACAAUGCACCGCGCUCGGCGUCGGUUGCCCGGGCGAUGCGCCGCACGCGUGCAGGCCCACACACCCUGAAGGCGGAGCCCGGGUGGGGAGGCUGGUUCCCGGACCACCCAGCUGCCUGGAAGGGGGCGAGGGCGGGCCUACCGGAGCCCACCGAGGUUAGCCCAGGGAAUGUUCUAGUAGCCGCAGUUUCCAGAAGACGGGGAGUCGCCGCCCACUUCCACCCCCACCCGGGGUCAGCACACUUUUGACAAGUGGCCUCUGGCCUCGAAAGGUUCUGCAAAGCACGGGCGGGCCACCGAUUCAGUUGCCCUAAGGGUCGUAGGGCUUGGUUUCAAGCUCUGCUGUCUCAUUCCUGACCUUUGUGCGUGCGUGCAUGCGUGUCUGAGGAGGCCUUGGGCGUGAGAGGCAAGUGCGAUGACCCUGUUUUCGUUAUUUUUGGUUUUUGUGUUCGUGUCCUCCCCACCUCACCCUAGCAGGGUCUCCCUAGGUAGCUCAGGCCGGCCUGAAAUUCGCAGUUCUCCUGGCUUGGCCUCCCCGCGCUCCAUCACCAUCCAGGGUAAAUUCCUAAUUUUAUAACCUGGCACUACAUGUUUAUUUCAUACUGUAGUCCCUAUGUAGCUGGUCCUGCCCUAGAAAACUGUAUGCAUGGUGGUAGCCUCAGGAUUGAAGGAGAGUUUCGGCACAGGAAUCAUCCCCAGGAGGUCGAGUCUGUCUGCCAGGCAGUGCAGACUUCAGGAGUUUGAAUGUGGGUGGGUGUAGGGUGUGUACAGGUGAGGCUUCCUGCUCAGGUAGGUUGUCCAUUUGGGGGAAAAUGGACAAAAAAAAGUGAUCCUCAAAGGUGUCUUCUGUGGCAUAGGUACAUUGAUGACUAGUGAGUGGUACCUAAAUAAGUCACUUGAUAAAUAAAUAAAUAAGGUCCCUAUAAUAGGCUGAUGGCAGAGCUCGUACCUAACAUGCAUCGUAUCCUGAGUUUGAUACCCAGUGCCUCAAAAACAAAACAAAACAAAAAGGUAGUCAAAAACAAGGUGGUAGGGAGCGGAGUUGAAUCCCAGCACUGUUGGAACCUGGCUUGUUUCUUUCUAUUUGUAGUGGGGGACUAAAUAUAAAAGGAAAUCGCUUGGUAGGUGUGUGGGAGCACUAGAUGUUCUUGCAGAUUCUCAGCACAGUCACGGACGGCUUAGAGUGCUGAAUGAAUCCUACCAAUCACUAGCGUGGAGCCAUCAAACCUUCAAUACCUGUGAAUACAUUUUUGAAACUCCAUAAAUGAUUUUUGGGUUGUAUAACUUCAAGUUUCCUGCUUACCUUUGUGCAUUUGUACAGUGUCUGUCAUGUGUGUAGCUCCGGGCCUCAAACCCCAAAGAUCCACUUGACUCUGCCUCCAGAGUGCUGGGAUUAAAGACAGUCGCCACCACACAGGGCUAACCUAGAACCCUUUUACACUAAAUUACCCAGAGGCCCACCCCUCCCAAGAGAAAAUGAUGAGACUAACGAGGACUUCCUCGCUUACAGUGUAAGUGUAUGUCUAUCAGUCAAAGGCUUCUCCCAGCUCCCUCUUUGAUCUUAGCUAAAAGGCCCACGAAGCCAUUCCAGCUCCGUAUUUCCAAUGGCAGGACUGGGGACUUGAGGAAUUAAUAUUGAGAAAGAAGUGGGUUUGUCAAAUGAGACCGGUCGGUGUGUUUACUAGCUUUGGCCUCCCACUCAGAACCGUGGCAUUACUGACAACCCCAGAAUCUGAGCUGCUCGGCUGAUACAUUCAUGUUUUUCUCUGAUCUGUGGCUUGGUCUUGUUUACAUCAAAGAGCUGAGUAUCUAAAGCAAACAAAGUAGGACCGGAGGCGUAGGUGGUGGUAGUGUUUGCCUAGCGCAUGAGCCCUCAUCUUCAGUCUUGAGCACUGCAAAGUAAAUAACAAAAAUAACAGAGAACUGGGCUCUUGCUCAGGCGGCACAGCACUUGCUUAAGUGUGAGUGAGGCCAGAGGCCACAUAAUUGAUCCCUAGCAGGCUAAGGGGAGGGAGUCAGGCACAUGUAAUCUCAGAGCACUUGGGAGAUGGGGCCAGGAGGAUCAGACAUUCAUGGCCAACUUUGGAUGGAUGGUUCCAAGGCCAGCCUGGGCUCCAUGAGACUCUGUCUCAACUCUCCCUAGUCAAAUAAAGAAGAGGAGGUAGGAAUAGCAGCAGCAGUGAGUGGGUGCUGAUCACCAAGUUCAGCACUUACAGUCACUGUCUUAGUACCCCUCAUAACUGCUGUGUCUGAGACCCUUUUCCUUUCUCUCUCUUUAAUGCUUAUGGGUGUUUUGGUUGUUGGUGUAUCUGUGCACCACAUUUGUGCCUGAUGCCCACCGAGGCUAGAAGAGGGCAUUGGAUCCCCUGGGUCUGAAAUUCAGACACUUGUAAACUGCUGUGUGUGGGGGUGCUGAGAAGUGAACCUGGCUCCUCAGAACAACCAGUGCUCUUAACUGCUGAUCCAUCUUUCCAGCCCCAAGGAGACCCUCUUUAUUUACCGACUUAGCAAAGCUAUGUAGCCGAGGAUGACUUUGAACUCCUGAUCUUCCUGCUCCCACAUCUCAAGUGCUGGGAUUUCAGGCACGUGCCACCGCAGCCAGUUUUAUGGGGUACAAGGAGUUGGACCCAGGGCCUGUGCAUACCAGGCAACUGCUCUGCCAGCCGAGCCAUUUUCCCAGCCCUGUCUCAUUAGAGGACAGCUCCAGUGUGUCCUUCCCCUGAACUCCUCUGCUUGCCUCCAUCACCACCGUGCUCGUAAGUCCGAUAAUGCUUAGAUUUCCUCCAUGAUAUCUGCCUCACGUAUUCCUCCAGCGGGAUUAGCUUGUGCAUUGCCUUUCUGCUCAACGUCUACCUGUUGCUGCCUCUUCUGUCCCCGGUUCCACCUUCUGCAUUCAAGUCACUGUCUGGGCUUAGGGGUGUAGUAGCUCAGUGGUGGAACCCUUACAGGUUUUCCUCGGUACUCAGUAAAUAUGACUGAAAUUUUAAAACCACUAGGUCUUAUGACCCCCCACUACACACACAUAUAUGAGAUCAGGAGAUGUAAGAGGGGCAGCAAGAUGGCUGCAAGUGAAUGAGCUGGCUGUGCAAACUCACAGCCUGAAUUUGAUCUCUAAAUGCGGGACAGGCGGGAAGAGAAAGCCAACUCCAGAAUGUGGUCUUCUGACCUCUACAAGUGAGGCAUGGUGUAUGAGCACUACCCCCACACGCCAAAACAAUACUUUUAGAAAAUUUAGGAGCGGAAGGUAUGAAAUAUGUUGACUUCCUUUUUUAUUGUACUUUUCUUCUUGAGACAGGGUCUAACUGUGGAGCUCCCGGCCUUGAACUUACAGAGAUCCUCCUGCCUCUGCAUCCUGAGCGCUGAGAUUAAAGGCAUGCACCAUCACACCCCACUUUUCUUUUUCUUUAAAGAAGGUCUUCUGAGCGGGCAGUAGUGGCGCACACCUUUAAUCCCAGCACUCGGGAGGCAGAGGCAGGCUGAUCUCUGUGAGUUCAAGGCUAGCCUGGUCUACAAAGUGAGCUCCAGGACAGCCAGAGCUGUUACACAGAGAAACCCUGUCUUGAAAGGAAAUAAAAAAAGUCUUCUUAGUUAAGCUGUGGCUGGCCUGGAGCUGAAGUCCUCCUGCCUUGCCUUCUAAAUGCUGGACUAUAGGCCAAGGCCACCAUGUGUGGCUUGGAAAAUCUAUUUUCUUUUGUGUGUGGCCAAACUUACUCCUUUGAGAUCGGGUCUCUCACUGAACCUGGGGCUCAUUUUUUUUUUCAGCUGUGCUGGAAGCCAGAAAUGCCCUGCAUCCUUCCUGUCUCUGUCCUACUCAUUUUUAGGGUUAUAGGCAUGUAGGACCAUACAUGGCUUUACAUGUGACUGCUGAUUCAGAUUCUGCUCCCCAUGUUUUCGCAGCAAGCUCUCUUAACCAAUGAGCCAUAUCCCUAACCCAGCUCCUUCUUUUUUGAGACUGGGUCUCAACCCAGGCUAACCUCAAACUUGCUAUGUAUCAAAGAUUGUCUUGAAUUUUUGAUCCUCCUGCCCCUGUCUUCCAAGCGCUGGGAUUACAAGCAUGUAUCACUAUGCCCACUCUAUCCAGUGCUGGUAAUCCUGGUGCAUGCUAGGCAAACACUCCACUGACUAAGGGACAUCCCUGCCCCAGUACCAUCUUUUUAAGAAAGAUGUGUACAUGUGUUCGUGUCUGUGUGUACAAGUGGACACGGAGGCCGGAAGAGGGUAUCAGACCCUGGAGCCGGGGUAAUGGGCUGUUAUUAGCCACCCAGUGCAGAUGCUAAGAACUGAACCGGUCCUCUGCAAGAACAGGAGGAGGAGGAGGUAAUGUUGCUUUCUCAGAAUGCUGGCCCAUCACUAAUUCUAAUGAUUUCAAAGAGAGAUCAGUGAUCUGGAUCAUUUCCACAGGAAAGAGCUCCAUUUAUAAAUGUUGUUUACAAUUAUUUAAGCACUGAAUAGUACAGCAUGUGAGUCUCCAAUCCAUAACCUCUUUUGGAGUUUGACACCAAAUCCAGGGCUUAUCCUUAGGUACCAGGAGAUUCAUACUUUCCUGGGAGCAAAUGGACUAUACUACCUGGCACACGAUGUUUACUGAAUGAAUCCUGAAUGAACGAAUGGCCACACCAAUAGCCACAUGAAGAUGGAAUCUCAGACAGAAUCCAGAAGAGGGAGUCGGAACAUCUGGGGCUGGAAUUAUAGGCAUUUGUCAGCUGCCUAAUAUGGGUGCUGGGAACAGAACCCAGGUCCUCUGCCAAAGCAGCAGGGUUUCUCUGUGUGGCAGCCUUGGCUGUCCUGGAUCUCACUUUGUAGACCUGGUCUCAAACUCACAGAGAUCUGCCCGCCUCUGCCUUCCGAGUGCUGGGACUAAAGGCGAGUGACACCUCUUUGUGAUUAUGUCGUCUGAUUGGACAGAGGAAGGCAUGGGACAUUAGUAAAGGACAACUCCGCGUGUGUGAAGGUGUGCCCAGAGAAGAUGAACCCCAAGGACAGAACCCACUCCAUAUGGUUGCUCCACUGCACAGGCCUCAGUGGAAUUUAAAAGGGGGAGACGGGGCUGGGGAUGUACCUUUUUUAGGUGGAACCUGCCUAUCAUGUGAAAGGCCUUGGGUUAACCCCAGUUAAGAGAAAAGAAAGAAAACAAGAAGGCAGGCAGCACCGACAGCGAGCCCCUGCUGCCAGGCACUGUGACGUGGACAGCCAGCCCCGUCUGCCCAGCUUUCCCGGCCACGCUGGACUGAUCGGAACUCACGAGUCAAAAGCCUUUCCAUCUGUGCUCGGUGUGCACAGCUAUAAUCCCAGCACCAGAGAGCCCGAGGCAGAAGGAUUCCCUAAAAUUUGGAGCUAGCCAGAGCUACAUAGCAAGACCCUGUCUCCAAAAGGAGGCGGUGGGUGGCUUGAGAGAGAGCCAGCUCGGCAGGGAAAAGUGCCUGCCACCAGCCUGGUGACCCGAGUUCGAGUCCUGGAACCUAAAUUGCAGAAGCUGACUCCAGUUGUUCUCUGACGUCCAUACAUGAUCUGUGUAACCCCUUCCUCCCAUAAAAAUAAUUUUCUUUUUUUAAAUACUGUCUCACUAUGUAGCCUGGGAUAGUAAUUUAACAGUCACUAUUUUCUUCUAAGCUCUCUUUAUAUUUUAAGAAGUUUAUUUUAAUUUUUUUUAAGUCAGGGUCUUAUGUAGCCGAGGCUGGCCACAAACUUGUGUUUAGGUGCUAGGCUCAUAGGCAGCUGCCAUGCUCAGUUCAUGUGCUGCCGGGAAUUGAACUCAGUGCUUCACGCAUGUUGGAUGAGCAUUCUACCAAUUCACUAUAUCCCCAACCCCAAAUUAUUUCAGUUAUCUACUUUUAAUUUGUGUAUUUCCUUUGUUUGUUUGUUUCUCGAGACAGGAUCUCUCUGUGUAACUGCUGUGGCUGUCCUGGAACUCGCUCUGUAGACCAGGCUGGCCUCUAACUCAAGGAGAUCCGCCUGCCUCUGCCUCCCGAGAGCUGGGAUUAAUGGCGUGUGUAAGCACCGCCUGGUAAUAAUUACAUUUGUGUGUGUGUGUGUGUGUGUGUGUGUGUGUGUGUGUGUGUGUGUGUGUGUGUGUGCAUGGUUGCUGUAAUGUGCAUCGAAGUCAGAGAACUGCUUUCAGGGGUCAGGCGGUUCUCUCCUUCCACCACGUAGGUCUCGGAUGGAACUCCGGUCAUGAGACUUGGCGGCAGGCACCUUUACCCACCGAACCAUCUCGCCCGCUCUGUUUUGUCGGUGAGAAUUUUCAAACCAGGGUAUUGGAAUGCUGAGUGAAUAUUCUGCCACUAAUCUAUCUUCUCAACUCAGUAAAUGUAUCUUUAUUUUUUUUUAAAUUUAGUUAAGUAUGAUGGCACACAGCUUUAAUCCUGGAACUGGGGAGGCAGAGACUGGCAGAUUUCUGUGAUUUCAAGGCUAGCCUGUUCUACAUAGUGAGUUCCA